UCGAAAGACAUUCAUUCAAGAGAUCCUAACGUGAUUAUCGUAAAUAGCUGGAAUUGUAGAUAUUUACAAUGACAUAGAUCAUUUUUCUUCGACGUAAUUACGGCCUAAUGUCGAGACAAGAAUAAUAUGACGCUGAUCUGUGUUUUGACAAGAAUAUGAAUGAUCUUAAGAAAAGGCUUCGCUGAAUCAAUUGGAAGACAGCGUCUUCAAUUGUCCUACUAAAUUCUUUACGGAUGACAUCUGGGUCUGGGGAGAUCAUGCAAAAAAAUAAGACAUCAUUUAUAACUUUCAACCUUCCGCUCACAGGACAAAUUCUCGAAGACGCUACGAAAAGAUGCUGAGCUUGAUCAUAAUUCUUCAGGCUCCCAAUUCAAGAAUACAAUUACUUAGCGUGGGUGCUUCUGCUCAGUCUUCGUUUCCUAUCUCCACAUACGAAUCACUCACUUGUUACUCAUUCGAAUAAUUUACUGCUGUAAGGAGUCGUACCGCCAACUAAAUCUGAAUAACAAUUUGGCUGCUAGAAGUCAAAAAAUAGGCGCUGCAAUGAUUAUGUGGUAUGAUCAGAUUGUGUCGCAACAUUCAGCGGGGUUUUGACUCAAUGGGACCGCUGCUAAUAAAGUGUUUAACUAGCGAAUUUUGGAACACACCCGUUGACAAAAGUAUAAGGAGUCUCUUUCCGUGAGUUCCCCUCUUCCUCUCACUGCACUUCAACUAUGCCUUAUAGCAACCAAGAAGCUAGAAAAUGCCAACUAUUAAAAAGAUAACCUCUUUGGAAUCAAAUAAAACGGAGAUUAUCUUGGGAUCUAUUUCACAAAUUUACGGCUAAUUGGAAUGAACAGCGCCAAGUAGCACUGGACAAACUGCAGAGAGUAUUAGAACUUGCUUUAUUCCGUAUACCGUACUUUAUAUGGUCGUCAGUUUUACCACUUCGGUACGCAAAUGAAAAUAAAAAGCUCAUUCACAACUUAGACACAAUUUCGCCGUUUACAAGUAGCUGAAAAGUCCAUCUAUCGAAUUAUGAAUGAUACUAUUUUAAAUAUCGUCGUUACUGCACUCGUUUUCCACGUUCUUUUUAUCCACACAUCCGAUGUUUUAUUUACAGUUGAGCAUCUCAGGGCCAGCGACAAAUAUAAACAUAUUAUACUCAAAAUGAAGCUCGUUGAAAAGAGAAUAUUUCUUAACCUCUUUUACAGUGCUUUCAACACCUUUUCACCUGUGUGCCAUGUCAGAUUAAGGAUGCUCAACUUUUCGAAUUAUUAUUACAAAUUUCAAAGAAAUUACUAGUCCUUUUUGUCCCCUAAUGUAUCCCUCAUUUCAUACCGUCGUUUUGGGGUUCCAACUACGUAUAGCUUUCAAGUGUGGUUUUACGGUAAGAACAACCCCCCAUCGGUUGGUGCGGAAUACUUUCCUAUUCUCAUCGAGAGCCGAGCCAUACACCUAAGGUGGACAGAAAGCUAAAAUUCCAAAACAGAAAAAUCUAACAUCUUUGCUCCCUUACAAGUAGGAACGCUGGCGUAUCAACCCGUCUCCAGAUUUGCCCAGCAUUUCUGUAGAACACCCAAUGCGAAUGAAGACUAAUGAAUAUUGUAAAGACAAAAAAUAGGAAAAGUUUAAUUAGUGAUGGUUCUCACCACCCCAAAACGGUCACUUGCAUGCAUUGAGGACAUGCACCUGCAGUACUUGUUUUUCUCGAAUGUUUUUACCAUCUCUUUUUUCCUUAUCUGAGCUACUGACGCAGACGGACAUUGUUUCAUAUUUCGAAAGCUGUGCGGGAAAACGGACCCUAACACGAAUGUGAAUGCGCUAAUCAGUAUUUCCACCACAUGAAACCUGCUACUUUUUCAGUCCUCUUCGUAUGCAUUUCCCAAAAUUCAUUCGUAGCCUUGUCAACUUAGACUCAGUUCCACGGCGUGCAGGACGGGGUAUUAUGAAUAAAAGGAUCCACGGGUGAGAUUUGUUCUGUGUUUUAGGUAUGGAGUUUUGUACCACAAAACUUUAGGAAUACCGGAUUUUGUGCCUACGCCAGCCCCAGAGUAUGUUCUCACAGCUGUAAUUCCUAGUGAUCUUUUCCUGGCUCCAAUAGGAACGCCGGUAGGCAAAUUAAACUUUCGCGGCAGGAAAAAAAAGGCUUUUUCUUUUUUGCCUUUCAGUUUCUCGGAAUGUGGCAUUACAUAAGCAUAAUCCUUUUUGGGUGUGCCUGGAAAGUUCAAAUUAAGGUUUUUUUCUUCUGUUUUCUUGACAAGAAAAUGUCGCCCAAAGAGUUUCGGCCGUUAUUUUCCUAUCGAAGUGGGUCCUUUUUGUCUUUAGUCCUUCUCUGGGGCUAGCGAUCACUGCAAAAUUAGGCUUCACUGGUACGAGUUAACUUUUUUUCUUUUUUUUUGUCAUCCUUUUCUUUGGGGCUAAGAAUGGACUUCCCUUUUCUUUUUCUUUGUUGCAGCAGUGGCUUCAAAGAACUGCUGAUUGCUCAAGGCAAUCAGUCCGAGCGUUUAGAAGGUGAUUGUAGGCAGAAAUUAACUUUGCGGUAAAAGAAUGACAUUCUUUCUUAAAAGAAAAAUUAGCUUUUUUUUGUCAGGCAUUGCACAAACUUUUUUAUUUCUGCCUAUACUCUUAAACAGAUCAGUCAUUCAUGUUGUCUUUUUAACGGUCGUACUGGGACAUCGCAUGCCUUGGGAUUCCGUAAUUAGGUGCAACAAUACGGGCACAACUCAUUCUGCGCUAUCUUCACGGACAGAACUUCUAUUGCCUAUCGGUGGUGUGAUUAACAAUUGGAAGCGCAGAGCUUGGAAUGGAUUUUCAAUUCAAUGGAUUUGGAGGUAUUCGUUUGUUUACUAAUAUUUACUUUGAGGACAUUGCCCAACCCUAAAAGUGCCUGUUCCAGAAUAGAAUAACAUUAUGAUACGUUUUCUUGACCGCUGAGCAAUUUAAAGCAAUUAUUAGGGUACGAUUGUUUCUAGAGAAAUGUGGGUCAUCUUUUUAGGUCCGUUCUCUUCUGAUGAGGUAACCUUUACAAAAAUGUCAUAGAGUUACCAAUUGGGAUUCAAGGCAUCAUCGCAAUAUACUUCGUUCUUUUACGGAGAAAUUAAGCUCUUUCUACUUUGAAUUAACUGUUAGACUUGUCUUAUCUGAGGAAUGUCCGUGUUCAAAUUAAAUAAAAAUUUAGGGCAGUUUUAUUUACCUUAACAAAUAUGUUCAAGCAUGUACGU
RNAcentral lists this small RNA (3203 nucleotides) under Saccharomyces cerevisiae YJM1332. RNAcentral describes it as "ICR1". The record is from RNAcentral. Lineage: Eukaryota; Fungi; Ascomycota; Saccharomycetes; Saccharomycetales; Saccharomycetaceae.